CUGGCACAGUAGGUCAUCCCUUGUGAAGGCUGGGUUUGUCAAAGGAAAUUAAGAGAAUUACCUGGACCGUGUUGAACACCAGUGAGAAGGACUUCUGGACAGCUCUGCAAAAGAACAGGGGCACUUUCCAAUCCUUGCUGCACAGAGAUCCUCCUGCCCCAGGCCAUCUUGAACUCUCACCUGAAGGAUCUCAGCUACCACAGUUCAUCAAACCUUGAGGAAUCUCACUUAUUUAAGCUGUUGCCUGUUAGCUGGGGAAGCACGAAGCAUCAGGCAGCCUUUGUCUCCUUGGAGACUUCUGCCUUAGCGCCUGCCUGUCCCACCACAGCACUCAGCAGAUGCUCGGGGAGCCUGGGGACACCUCCUGCUGAGAUCCUGUGGGAAGUCCUCCUCUGGGGCUCCAUUGUGCUGCACAUGCAGCCCGCUUAAUGUGCUACGUGUGGCUCCCUUGUCGUUAUGGCUUUCUUUCAUCUCCAAGGGGAAUGAUUUCUCAUUGCAAAAGAACCUUUUUAAACUACCAGCUUAAUACCUUGCAUCUGUAUUUGGGUGUACAGAGAAUGAGAAAGUCUCAGAAGGAGCUGCAGAGUAGCCAACACCUGGAUAAUGAUCAUCUCACUGCCUUAGGCUGCCAUGGUCCCAAGCUGUCCUUGAGGCUGAGGUAGUAGAUUGAAUAGUUGUGGAGUCCGGUCCUCCCUUUGAGCUAACUAUACAAUCUACUGUCUUUCCUAAGGAGACAGUCAGGUCUUCAGUUCUCAUCCUCUCAUCUUCUACACCAAGCACGGAGGCAGGUGGUGCAAGUAACACAAAGCCAGUGAUACAGCGUGCAUCAGACAAGACCUCUGUACUGCUCUGUGGAGAGCAGCAAAACCACUGGAGGACUGGCUCAGCCACGCUGCUCCUGAGGCAUCACUUCUUUCUGUUGAGGAUCCCAAAACACAGCACGGUGUUGUUGAACAACUCGGUGGCUCUUCUCUUACAGCAGCCAGGAUUGCGUUCUUCCAGGGACUGCUCCAUGCCUCAGCCAUGAGUAUGGAGCCACCCUCUCGCAACCUGUUUCAUGGGUGCAAGAGAAACAAUGAAAUGAGUUGGUGUAUCAGCUUCUGGUGUUCAGUUCUGUUCUUUUUUUGCAGGAGAUGGGCUCAAGCUGUAAAUGUGCUGUUCUUUUCUGGUCAGUCCUCAAGUCUGAAGGGGAGCGGAUACUUUGGUACAGAGGAUAGAUCUGAGCACCCAGUUCUGAAGUCUGGGUUAAAAACUAGAUCUAAGGGCAUGCUUAUCCUGUAGACUCAAAGCCUUGGGAGCUGAUCCAAUUUGGCUGGUUGCCCCCCCUCAGGAAGUGCAUUCUGUUUUGGACAAGUUCCCAUCUCUCCAUGGUAUAGAGUUAGAGGGUGGUUGUUUCUGGUCUGAUAAUCCAUAUCAACCUAACUCACUAAUACACAAACCCUGGCAAGGAGAUUAGGGCUCCUGUGUACUUACAUAGGAUAAGCCACCGAUUCAGACUAACACCCUGUCCUAGAGCGGAGACAGGUAAGGAAGAGAGGUAAGCCAAAGGGAGCAAGUCCUAAUCCUUGUGGGUUCUCCCAGGCAGGUAGCACUGUCAUCUGACAACAGGCAUGAGAAGACAGUCUGCGCCACAGCUCUGGCACUUGACCAGGGGCAGGGAAUUGUUAUUUCUUCUCUUUCUUAGGAGCAGAUGGGACUAUCCCUCUGCUAUGUUGAAGAGUAAGUAGGAUCGAGCUGUAACACGAUCAGGGCUGCAUCAGUUCUUCAAGACUGAAGGACAUCUCAGGCCAUUAUCACUGCCAUCUCACUGCCAUGGAGACGGGUGAGAUCCGAGACACCGGGGAGCAAGGGCAAGCAGAGGCCACCUUCUCAGAUGAAGUGGGAGGAAGAGACCUGCAAAAAGAAGCUGGAGCCCUCCAAUUUCACCCCGAGCAAACGCACAGGGAGACCCAGACCUGACUGCUUGGGCCAUGGGGUUCCCCAGAAAUGAAAUGGCUUGUUUAAGGCUCCUCUGCUUCCUGGGUGUAGCUGCAGCGAGGCUGGGACAUGACUUGCUCAGGCUGGGCAGCAGCUGGUGGGUGGGGAUGCCGCAGUGUCUAGUGGUGAAGGAAUGCAGCCCUCGCUCCAUAAAUCUGGCUCUUCAACAGUCCUGGCGACGUGCUGUGCAAAACUACAGCUUGGUCCUCUUAGAUGCAUUAUUAUCCUCUAGCUGCUUGCUAAGGGGCAGGGCUCCUACCCGCAAAUUGCUUGGAAAGGACCAAAAUAGCACCAGAAGCAUGGGAACAGAGCAUAUCCACUUCAUAUUUAAAACAAGGGGGAAUGGGUUUAAACUCAAACAGGGAAGUUCAGGUUGGAUAUAAAGUUCUUCCCUAUGAGGGUGGUGAGGCGCUAGCACAGGGUGCCCAGAGAAGCUGUGGCUGCCCCAUCCCUGGCAGUGUUCAAGGCCAGGUUGGACACAGGGGCUUGGAGCAACCUGCUCUAGUGGAAGGUGUCCCUGUCUGUGGCAGGGGAUUGGAUCUGGAUGAGCUUUAAGUUCCCUUCCAACCCAAACCAUUCUACGAUUCUAUAAGAACCAAUCCUGUAUGUCCCAAGUGAAAUCAGUUCAGUCCCCUCCACUGCACUGAUGUUAAUGCAGGGAAUCUCAAGUGGUGAAACUGCGUGAGCUGGAAGCCAUGAAUAAAAUAUUACUGGAGAGACUCUCUUCUGAAAAUAAA
Molecule: long non-coding RNA, 2714 nt
Organism: Strigops habroptila (Kakapo)
Lineage: Eukaryota; Metazoa; Chordata; Aves; Psittaciformes; Psittacidae
Exons: 3
Source: RefSeq, a predicted model, not a curated record